UGGAACCUCUCGUAUCCUUGCCACCCUUCUGUCUCUCGGAAGUUUUUGUCUGCCUGAAAGACACGACCAUGGCAAUGAUCGAGUUUUCACAAGAAUGGAAGUCAGGAUUUCCAAUAGACACUGUGUCGAAAGCACCACUCUUACUCUCAAAACAAGCCUCAGAAUCCCUUAUUGGUCCACUUAUAUUCAACCCAAUCCCUGAAUCACUGGCACACCUCUUUACCUCUCCUGCUCUCUCUCCUCCUCUUCUAAACCCACCACCCCAUCUUUCUCUCACAAGAUUUAUCUCCACGUCAACACUCGCUGACUCUCCUCUCCCUCUCUCUACUGCUUCCUCUAUUGCCUUUUCUUUUGGCCCUCAAGAUCUACACUUUUCUUCUCCUUUGUUAGCUUAUAAUAGACUCCAGUUCCUUAAAUGCCCACAUGAUGAUACUGUUGUUGUGUUUUUUUCCACUGGGACUAAUCUUGACCGAAUUGGGUUUUUGUUACUUUCUGUUAAAGAUAAGAGCUUGGUGGCUACUGGGGAUCAAAAGGGUGGGAUUUUUACUGCUAGUAAGAGUUUGGGGUCAAAGAUUGUGAGGGUCUUAGUGAACCCCAUUGAGGAUGAUUCUUUUUUGAAUGGUAAUUAUUCCUUUUCUGGCUCUUUUGGUUAUUUGUUAGUUUAUACUAUGUAUUCUGUGAAUUGGUUCUGCGUUAAAUAUAGUGAAAGUAUGAAAAGGCCUGUUUUGAGUUAUUUAGGUUGUAAGAAUUUUAAGAGUUGUGGAAUUGCGAGUGCUUGUUGGAGUCCUUAUAUAAAAGUUCAGAGUGUGGUUUUGUUGGAGAAUGGUACAUUAUUUUUGUUUGAUUUGGAAGCCGAUUGUUCUGAUAUGUAUUUUAGGGGUACUAAAUUGAAAGUUUCGUGGGGUAAUGAAGGUAAGUUAGGAGAUUGUAAAUGGUUAGGGUGUGAGUUUAGUUGGCAUUGUAGGGUUUUGAUUGUUGCACGGUCAGAUGCUGUUUUUAUGAUUGAUUGGAAAUGCGGUGGUUUUGAUGUGACUUGUUUAGCAAGGAUUGAUAUGUUUAGUGCAUAUGCUCUUAGUGAAAAGGAACGGUUCCUAGCUAUGUCCAGGGCAGUUUCGGAUAGUCUUCAUUUUGCUUUGGUUUCUGAAACUAUGUUAGUUAUUUGUGAUGUGCGCAAGCCUAUGAUACCUUUGUUGCAAUGGGCACAUGGUCUUGAUAAGCCAUGUUUUAUUGAUGUGUUUAGAUUGUCUGAUUUGAGGUCCAACUCAAGGGAUGACACACAUGACUGGGCGAAUUCUUCAGGUUUUGGCAUUAUUUUGGGGUCAUUUUGGAAUUGUGAAUUCAGCCUCUUUUGCUAUGGACCAUCCUUUCCUCCUCGUAAAGGGUCCAUUGCCUUGGAAAUUUCUAAAUUUUCCAGUUGUUUAUACGCUUGGGACCACCCUUCAGGUCUCAUGUUAUCAGGUGAUGAUUGUCAACGUGGAGAUUGCCUUGUAAGAGAACAGUUUUGGAAGGAAGCUCUUCCUGAAUGGACUGAUUGGCAGCAGAAAAAAGACAUAGUGUUGGGCUUUGGUGUUUUGAGCAACGAUCUCUCUUCAUUGUUGUUUGAGCCUGAUGAAUUUGGUGGUUUUGUUUUAAUUAGAUUGAUGUCAUCAGGAAAGCUUGAAUCACAGAGAUAUUGUGCCUCAUGGGAAUUGGUUAAAAAUAUAGGAGUGGCUCAAAGAGAUCCAAUGCUGCAUCCAGAAGACAACUUACUUUACUUCAUGGGUGAUGAGGAAUACAAGGUCCCUAGAAAAUUUAAGUAUUUUGAACUGAACUAUCUACAUGCACAUUUGAAUGGCAAACUUUCUCAAGUUCUCGAUUCAAACAUGGCAAAGCCUUGUGAGUGUCCUCAUGAGAAGGAAUUGUUCAGCCUAGAAUUUCAUGAAGUAUUGUGCAAGAAGCUGAAAAUUUGUGGGUUUGGUCGAUUUAGAACAUCCCCUGCCAUUACAGUUACAUUUAAUGACAUAAACUUGCCAACAAGCAUCCAUGAGGUAGCUUUGAGGAGAAUGUGGGCUGAAUUGCCAAUGGAAUUCUUACAACUCGCCUUUUCCAGCUAUUCUGAAUUUCAUGAAGUACUUUUGGAUCAGAAAAGGGUUGCUUUGGAAUUUUCAGUUGUUCCAGAACUACCUCAAUUACCUCCAUUUUUCUUGCGGAAGCCUUCAAACCACAGUAAUAGGUGUUCACGUAAAGUGCAAAGUAGUGAUGCCCUUGUGGGUCCAGCUCUUCCUCUCCCUAUUUUGUCUACACUUCAUGAGCUUCGUAAUGGUUGUCCAAAUUCACAGGAAGAAACAGGCGGAUUUUCAUCAGAAUCGGAACUUAGCGUUCGAUGCAAUGAAGUUAUGCAGGUGGCCAAGGAAGUGGCUGUUUCAGAUUCCACAACCAAGCUUCAGGAUGAUAAUGCUAUCUCCCUUGAUGAUGACAGAGAUGACUUUUUGGAUCAUUCUGAAAAACCAAAGUCUUUCCUUCUAUACCAUCCAACUGCAUGUCAGCUCUCUUUUCAAGUUCACAAAGAGGAUAAUUGUGUGUAUCAGGAUGACACGUUUGCUUCCAUGAUUACAAAAGUGCAUGAGAAACAGUCACCUCAUCCUGAAAAGGUGGAAACUUUCAAACUAGAAUUCUUUGAUGAUCUGUGCCCAAUCGACUUGAAAUUUGAUGCUCGUGAGGUGAAAUUUAGUUCACAAGAGUCGAAAAUUUCAAAUUUAUUGAAGAAGAAUUUUUCAAAAUGGCAAGAGGAAUUCACUCCUUAUCGGGAAUUUUGUUCCCAAUUUACAUCCCCUCGUGACAAGAUGGCUUAAUGUAAGAUUUCUAUUGAUUGCAAUUUCCACUGCUUAUUUCUUCAAUUAUUGUUGUUUCGGUUUCUUAUAAGUUCAUCCCUUUUCCCUUUAAUUUUACUUUUUAAAACGUCUAUCCAGCUGAUGCUUGCAGACUGCAAACAUUAUUGUAUAGUUUCUUUUCUUUUUUUUUCUCCCGGGAGCUGGUUCUUCUCAUACUUGGUCUGAUGAACACGGGUUUGUGAUCUGUGAAUAAUGCUCCACUUGCAAGUUAUGUUAUACUGAUUCUAUAGUUUGAUGAUUUUCUUGCAAUUCCAUUAUUUACAAAUAGAGGGGGAGCGGUGAUUUUGCGAAGCAGCUGAACUGAAUUCGCAUCAAUUUAAGGCCUUGAAUAUCGAUGAUCAUUCUUCCAGUUUGAUUCAUGUUUUUCUCAUACUUGACUUGUGCAAUCCUCAAGGUAACUGUGAGUAUGAAAUAGAAAAAGUCUAUGGAUAAAAUCUGCACUCUGUAACCGAGAAAUUACUUGAUCAAAAUUUAUUUUUUUAGACAUCGGUGCAAUAUCCUUUUUUGUGUGCGUGAACCAAUCAAGGAUUGGAAUUCAGAAAUGCUAACAUUAAUUGACUGUAAAAUCAGAAAAAUUCAAAUUGUAAGAUAAAAUAGUGAAAGCAUUUUUAUUGAAUCUGCUUUUUCACUUGUUUAACCUACGAUAAUUGCAUAUGCAGGUUCCAGUUCAACAGGUGAACUUUCUGGAUCUCAUUUGUAAUGGCACGAGCAGUAGGUACUUUGUUUACAUUCUGGAUACGUAUGGCCAUAUUGUGGGCCAUAUUUGCAGGAUGGUUAUUGCUCAUCAUGGGACCUCAACUUAUUGAAAGAGGAGGUAUCUAGUCAUGACAUUGGCAUAGCAAGAUGUUCAGUUCCACUGAACUUUUUACGUUGUACAUACCCCCAAUUAGUUUGUAGAGUCUCAAUUCCAAGGCUUCUGAAUCUGUACAUGCUAUAGGAUUCGAGAAUUCCUCGCCUGGCAAUCUUGGUGCUUCUACCAUUGAAAGGUUGGUGUUGUACUUAAUUCCAGUUUAUUUUCAGAUGAUUACAGUAGGAUUUCAGGUCACCCUGAUGUGCAUUAUGGAGUACAAUAUUGAGUUAAGUGCUGACAUGCUAUGACUUUUCCGUUUGCAAUCCUGACCCUAAUAGUAAAAGACCUUUGAGAAAUGUAUCAUCUAUCUGCAUUGUUACAUUAAUAUGGUUGAUGCUAAGUUAUUUGGUUAUAA
Molecule: RNA transcript, 4075 nt
Organism: Populus nigra (black poplar)
Lineage: Eukaryota; Viridiplantae; Streptophyta; Magnoliopsida; Malpighiales; Salicaceae
Exons: 2
Source: RefSeq, a predicted model, not a curated record